This 7011-nucleotide long non-coding RNA is filed under the name Triticum aestivum (bread wheat). RNAcentral's name for it is "long non-coding RNA (TAES_LNC016041)". Lineage: Eukaryota; Viridiplantae; Streptophyta; Magnoliopsida; Poales; Poaceae. The record is from RNAcentral.
UUAUUUUUGACUGAAAUUGGUUUAGCCAAGCCUUACUUAAUCACAAGACAGAGUAAUGGUUCAGUUUGUUGUAAUACACUGAUAUAUACACUAAACAUGGCGUUAUGUCCAUCAAGAAAAAAAAAACAUGGUCAUAUGUUUACACAAAUACUAUAGUUGCUAAAAGAAAUGUUGGUACAAAUAGGUUGGCCCCAACUAAGCCUACCUUAAACAGAGUCUUCUGGACAGCACAACCAUCACAGCACAUGUCUAGCUUGGGGAAUUUUCCAUUUUGGUACCGGGUCUUUACAAUUUUCAUGAACGUAGCGUGGCCAUUCCUGAGGUAGCAUUCGGUGUAGAAGACGACAGCAGCUACGAGGAUGACGGCAACGGCUUUAAUACAGUCCUGUUCCUUUGCCAUGACGAGGAAAGAAAAAAGGAAGAAGCAGAUCAAACGCUGGUCCCAUACGUCUCUCUGAUCACAUCACAUCACUCAAAGAAAGAAAAGAAAAAAGACACUAACUCCUUAAGUGAGGCCAAAAACAUCAAAAUUAAUUGCCGUGUUGCUACAGCAGUACAGCUAAAUAUAAAAAAGACUACUCCUAAGUGAGGCAGUUGACUGAAGAGUUAACGCUACUGCCUUCUCUAGUUAACCAAACUUUCUUAAGACAACAAAUACAAAAAUAGAACAGCAUUGAUCAACUAAGCACAAUUAGAAUUGCGGUUAUUUUUAGUGGUUGGCGAAUUCAAAUAAUAAAUAAAUAAAUAAAUAUGGAUUGUAUCCCUUGGGGGCAUGGAUGUUGAUCAUGCACUGGGAGUAAUCUACACAGUUUUGUGGAAACUCUGAAUGUUCCGUCACUACCUCGAGCAGGUUAGCCAAGGUUCGUUUUGACAGCAUCUGAUAACCUUGCUAGUUGAUUUCUCAUGAGAUGGACAGCACGCGCCAGCAUCUCCUACACAGUAGAGCCUGAGAACGCCCCUAACACAGCCAAAGUAAUCCACGAUUACCUGCACAGAAGGUUGGAAAGUGUAACGCCAAACGACAAGCAGAUAGAUUACUUUGCAAGUCAUAACACCCAUAGAAAGGAAAACGACCAGGUAUGCCUGACAAUAGACGAGAGAAAGUAAAGAGAGUGCAGCAAUAGUUCUGGGGCUAGCAAGUUGAGAUUGUGUACAUCAACCUAGUAUAAAUUGACCAAAACAAUCUAACAAUAAAUGGACAUCAAAGCACAUCUCCAGCCCCUGCAUUCAAAACGACAGUGCAUGUUUUCAUGCAGUUUAACAUCUCUAUAGUAUCACAUAUGUAUGUUUAAAUCCAGAAGUUUCAUUUAAUAUGGAUACUGGUGGGCAAGUCACAUUCGAAAUCAUAGUUCUAAAAUUGUUUGUUGUGCAGGAAUUGGCAACAUCUUCACACAUGUGUACCACAAGGAAAAAACCUAUCAAAAUUAUAAAUGGAGCAAGCGGGACAAUUCGUCCAUCACGGUAAGCAGCUCUACUUUUUACUAAAUCGAUAAUGGUUGAUACUGUUUAUCUCAGAAUAAGUGUUCCACUGAAAAACAUGUAACACUCCAUAUCAGCAGUUCAUCGUUCAUUAAUUUAUUACUCACCUACCAUGCUGAAUUUUUGCGAUCCCGUUACAUAAUCAGGAUGACACUUCUUCUAGGAGCACCUGGUUCUGGGAAAACUACUUUUUUAAAAGCAUUGGCAGGAAAGUUGGAUUCUUCUUUGAAGGUAGACUGAGUUAUCUACUUGCCACCGAAACCACUUACUAACAAGAUAAUCAUUGAUUAACCAGCAUUGUUUUUUUCUUGAUAUCACAUCUCUUAAUAGCUCAAAGGAAAGGUCAUGUACAAUGGAGAAGAAGUGAAUUCCUCAACACCUCAAUACCUGCAUGCCUACAUUAGCCAGUAUGAUCUUCAUCAUGCUGAGAUGACCGUCAGAGAGACGAUUGAUUUCUCUUCCAAGAUGUUGGGAACCAAUAAUGAAUUUGGUGAGACACCCUCUUGGGUAUGGGGAUAUAGCUUUAGUUCCCGUGUAUAUGAAUGAGCUAAUUUAUAACCAAACCCAGACACUGAAAAUUAAGAAGCACUCCUUUCAAGGGUUUUUUUUUAACUUUGCAUGACAUAAAUACUAAUGCAAAAUUCCUGUUUGAAAUGGUCGCCUUAGAGAUGCUGGGAGAAGCAAUAAGAAGGAAAAAGGGUGUCAUCAACAAAGUGGACCAAGAUCUUGACUCUUUUAUUAAGGUUACUAAUUUUAUUUUCCGCCAAUUUUGGUAAAACUGGAAUCCAGUUCCCCCAAUUGCUUAAAUCUGUUUUCUGCAGGCUACCACCUUCGGAGAAGGAAGCAACCUUACAACAAACUAUAUUAUCAAGGUAAAUUCGUAACUUUUCAAUUUAUACAUUUGUCUUCAUAACAUAAUCACAGACUUUGUGUAAAUGCAGAUACUUGGUUUGUCCGAGUGUGCAGAUACCCUAGUGGGGGAUGAGAUGAGAAGAGGCAUAUCAGGAGGACAAAAAAAGAGAGCCACGAUUGGUAAGGAUUCUAUAGUGUUUACUAUGUAUCUUGUUCCUCUUAUCACCCUCUGUUCCCACUUUAUAGAGUGCAUUUUUCUAAUGCGACAUUAUUUCAUAAUAAAAAUAUGGGUUUAUGUUAUAGUCCUUGGCACAAUAAAAAAAAUUAUCACCUCAACAACUUAUAUUUUGUACAGUAUUGCUUGAUGAAACAAAGAUCCUAGUUAAACCCACAAUGAAAAGAUUGUAAAGUAACAAAAUGUCAAAAUGACACCAUAAUUUCUUGACAUGUUCGAUUAAAUGGACUAUGAAAACAGUAUACGUGUACUUUUGUAGUGAGUCGGUCACGAUAUUAUAGAAUGCUCUCUUCCUGCAGAACUCUGUAUUGUUCUCAAGAAAAAAUAAUUUGAGGAUGAUAUUUAUUCUACUGAAUAAGGGCAACUCUGAAUAUGUCAGAUGCUCUGUUUUUAAGGCGUCCCGCCUUGGACGCUUAGGCGAUAAGGCGCCCCGCCAGCGCCUUACAAAUAUGCCCGCCUUAGGCGCUUAGGCGUUGCCUAGGCGAUAAGGCGCCCCCCCAGCGCCUUAGAUCGCCUUACCGCCUUAAAAACAUAGGUCAGAUGUAACUAGAAAUUACGUAGAUUGCUGGAAGGUACCCACACUGCAAUGUGCUGCAUUUAUAAUAUAUAUUUUCCAUAGCCUAUUCUGCUUACGAAUAUGUCAGAUGUAACUAGAAAUUAAGUAGAUUGCUGGAAGGUACCCACACUGCCAUGUGCUGCAUUUAUAAUAUAUAUUUUCCAUAGCCUAUUCUGCUUACAAAUAUGCCAGUUAUACAGAAGAUGGUGCCAGUACCAAAGUUAACAACUAUAAAUAUUGACGAUGUAAUCAACAUUGGUUUUCUUUUAUCAAUGUGUCAUUGUUGCUAUAUUUUUAAGAUGAAUUCACUAAUGCAGGAGAGAUGCUAGUUGGUCUAGCAAGAUGCUUCUUUAUGGAUGACAUAUCAACAGGUCUAGAUAGCUCCACCACAUACGAGAUUGUAAAGUUUCUCCAACAAAUGGCUCAUCUGAUGGAUCUCACUGUGGUUAUUUCCUUGCUUCAACCACCUCCUGAGACGUUGGAGUUAUUUGACGACAUAAUCCUUUUAUGCGAGGGGCAAAUUGUAUAUCAUGGUCCUCGAGAAAAUGCUACUGGUUUCUUUGAAAUUAUGGGAUUCAAAUGCCCCAGCAGGAAGAAUGUAGCUGAUUUCCUUCAAGAGGUAUUAGAUUAUAAACUCUAAUAAGAGGGAACUACUGAAUAAAUCUAUAUUGCUAACUUGAGGGCAGCCAGUGCAUAAAUAUCAGAAAGUAACAAUAUAGCAUGCAGUACAUGAGUUGCAAUUCCAUCCACAAAAUUCACUAUUAUGUUAUAUGUACUUGUUCGUGCAUAAUAAUGCAAGUAACUGACAGCAACUUUUCUUCAUUUGACCAGGUGACCUCGAAGAUGGAUCAAAAGCAAUACUGGAUUGGUGAUGAAAAUAAGUAUCAAUACCGGUCAAUCGAAAAAUUUGCAGAAUCUUUUCGUUCAUCCUAUCUCCCACGACCUGCGAAAGACGAUCUCUGCAGGACAAACAAUACAGGAAAGAGAAAGGAGAUUAUAACAAGUGCAACUCGCAGGAUCUCUAGAUGGAAUAUUUUCAAGGCAUGCUUUUCAAGGGAAGUAUUGCUUCUUAAAAGAAACUCCCCACUUCAUAUAUUUAAGACUGUACAGAUAACUGUUAUGGCUUUGGUGAUCUCAACGGUUUUCCUUCGAACAAAUAUGAACCAUAAAACUGUACUCGAUGCCAAUAAGUACAUGGGAUCACUCUUUAUGGCUGUUGUGAUAGUAAACUUCAAUGGCAUGACUGAAAUUGGAAUGACAAUAAAGCGACUCCCCACUUUCUACAAGCAAAGAGAGUUACUAGCAUUGCCAGGAUGGGCACUUCUUUCUUCGGUAUUCCUUAUCAGCCUCCCAAUGUCACUUCUAGAGACAGGUCUGUGGACCAGCUUAACCUACUAUGUGAUUGGCUACGCACCUUCCUUUCUCAGGUACCCCUCCUAGUCAAUUCAAUAUCUAAUGAGCAAAAUACUUGAAUAAGCUGGAAUAACAGAAAGAGUUACCUUGCUUCUUGCAGAUUCAUCCAGCAGUUUUUGGUACUUUUUGCCAUGCAUCAAAUGUCAAUGGGCCUCUAUCGUUUCUUAGCGGCAAUAGGAAGGACGCAAGUAAUGGCCAACAUGCUAGGCACCGCAGCUCUCAUAGCAAUCUACAUAUUUGGAGGCUUUGUCAUAUCAAAAGGUUAGAUGUUUUAGCUCAGAAUACCGUAAGAUGUAUGCAACGAAGAUGCUUACCAGUUUUGUACAUUGAAACAGAUAACCUCCAACCAUGGUUGCAGUGGGGAUACUGGACAUCCCCAUUCACCUAUGCACAGAAUGCUGUUGCCCUAAAUGAGUUCCUUGAUGAAAGAUGGGCUAGUGUAAGCAAUUGUUUCAACUAACAUUCUUGAUCCAAUGUACAUAACCCGUGCAAUUAGUUAUGACCUGAUGAUGAUUUUUUCAUGCUGACAGGAAUUUUACUAUGCAAAUGCUAAAACAGUUGGUGAAGCUAUCCUCAAGAUCAGGGGGUUGCUCACAGAGUGGCAUUGGUACUGGAUUUGUGUCGGCAUUUUAUUUGGAUUCUCGCUGGUCCUCAACAUCCUCACUAUAUUUGCACUAGAGUUCAUGAACUGUAUGUAUACCAAAGCUAUCAAAAUCCUCAUAAGUAUUGAAACAUAAAUGCAAACAAAAUCCAUCACAUUUGUUCAUAAUUUGUAGCUCCACACAAGCAUCAAGUUAAUAUCGAUUCCACGAAGACAAAAACGGAGUGCAAGAAACAGAAAGUUGGAACUCGCAAUGCAUCAACUGGUCAAGUUGCCCUCCCGUUUCAGCCUCUUUCCCUUGUAUUUGAUCAUAUCAACUAUUUUGUUGACAUGCCUAAGGUAACAUCUUGAGCACAUAGUGCCUUACUGAAUACUUGCAUCCAUUUCAUUUCCAGUCACGUUUGACCAAACGUAUGCAUAUCUUCCACCAGGAAAUGAUGAAGUAUGGAGUAACAGAGAAAAAGCUUCAACUGCUGCAAGAUGUCAGUGGUGUUUUCAGGCCAGGGGUGUUAACAGCUCUGAUGGGGAUCACUGGUGCUGGAAAGACAACAUUGCUCGACGUUUUGGCUGGAAGAAAAACUGGAGGAUAUAUUGAAGGUACUAUUAGGAUAGCAGGAUACCCAAAGAAGCAGGACACAUUCUCAAGGAUCUCGGGCUACUGUGAACAGAGUGACAUUCACUCCCCUAACCUCACUGUGCAUGAGUCACUACAGUUCUCGGCAUGGCUUCGACUUCCUUCGAACGUUAACUCUCGCCAAAGAGAUGUAUAAGCAUUGACCUUUUGCAAUCUUUAUCAUCUUUGAAGCUAAUAUAUAACAAUAGAUCUAACAAGAUUUUCCUACAAGCACGUUUCAGAUGUUUAUAGAUGAAGUAAUGGACCUAGUUGAAUUGACUGGACUGAAGAAUGCCAUGGUGGGAAUAGCAGGAGCAACUGGCCUGUCAGCUGAGCAGCGAAAAAGGCUAACAAUAGCAGUGGAGCUGGUAGCUAGUCCUUCCAUUAUAUUCAUGGACGAGCCAACCACUGGCUUGGAUGCCCGUGCUGCAGCAAUUGUGAUGAGAACAGUAAGAAAGACAGUAGACACUGGACGAACUGUAGUCUGCACAAUUCAUCAACCAAGCAUUGGGAUAUUUGAAUCUUUUGAUGAGGUAUGAUUAAAUAUAAAUUUUAAAUAUAUCAAAAGAAAAGCAUGGUCAUGUGGUGUCAAGACCAAGAGACCGAAAAGAGUAUUGAACUACUCAUUACACAAAAGCAAACCAGCAUAAUUUUUUCAUAAAUAAAGCAUCAAAUACAAUUAGCCCUUACACCCUGGGUUCCCUUCUGUUAAUAGCUCACAAAUAAUUACUAAUGAUAAUCAAUUAGCCUUUUAUAUGAUUAUGUAUAAGUACUACAGAACUACCUUUCUAAACUUGAGUUCAAUUUGACUAAAUGCAGCUUUUGCUUAUGAAAAGAGGUGGUCAGAUCAUAUACAGUGGUUCAUUAGGUCCGCUAUCUAGCAACAUGAUCAAGUAUUUCGAGGUAAGAUUGUCUGAUAUUCAACAUCUAUACACAAGAUGGAGACGAAAAUACUAAAAUUGCUUUGUCACAGGCUAUACCUGGUGUUCCUAGAAUAAAAGAGGGACAAAACCCAGCAGCAUGGGUGUUGGAUAUAAGUUCACACAUAACAGAAUAUGUGAUUGGAGUGGACUAUGCAGAAAUUUACCGGAGCUCCUCCCUGUACAGGUAAGCCAGAUAAUCAUAAAGCUACAGAAAUUGUACUGUUAAACUGGUUUGAGCAAUAGGGGAAAAGAUAAAACAAAAUGAAUAUGUACCUUGUUUCUGCAGGGAGAACAUGCUUCUAAUUGAAGAGCUGGGGCAACCAGCGCCAAACACCGUGG